RNAcentral lists this ribosomal RNA (253 nucleotides) under uncultured bacterium. RNAcentral describes it as "partial 16S ribosomal RNA". It matches the Rfam family "Bacterial small subunit ribosomal RNA", at positions 524 to 776 of the family's 1533-position model. The record is from RNAcentral.
UACGUAGGGUGCGAGCGUUAAUCGGAAUUACUGGGCGUAAAGCGUGCGCAGGCGGUUCGUUGUGUCGGUGGUGAAAGCCCUGGGCUUAACCUGGGAAUGGCCAUGGAAACUGGCGAACUGGAGUGUGGCAGAGGGGGGUGGAAUUCCGCGUGUAGCAGUGAAAUGCGUAGAGAUGCGGAGGAACACCGAUGGCGAAGGCAGCCCCCUGGGCUAGCACUGACGCUCAGGCACGAAAGCGUGGGGAGCAAACAGG